This 565-nucleotide ribosomal RNA is filed under the name uncultured Glomeromycotina. Its description in RNAcentral is "SSU rRNA". It matches the Rfam family "Eukaryotic small subunit ribosomal RNA", at positions 548 to 1114 of the family's 1831-position model. The record is from RNAcentral. Lineage: Eukaryota; Fungi; Glomeromycota.
UUGGAGGGCAAGUCUGGUGCCAGCAGCCGCGGUAAUUCCAGCUCCAAUAGCGUAUAUUAAAGUUGUUGCAGUUAAAAAGCUCGUAGUUGAAUUUCGGGGUUAGUAGGUUGGUCGUGCCUCUGGUAUGUACUGGUCUCACUGAUUCCUCCUUCCUGAUGAGCCGUAAUGCCAUUAAUUUGGUGUUGCGGGGAAUUUGGACUGUUACUUUGAAAAAAUUAGAGUGUUUAAAGCAAGCUAACGCUUGAAUACAUUAGCAUGGAAUAAUGAAAUAGGACGUUCGAUCCUAUUUUGUUGGUUUCUAGGAUUGACGUAAUGAUUAAUAGGGAUAGUUGGGGGCAUUAGUAUUCAAUUGUCAGAGGUGAAAUUCUUGGAUUUAUUGAAGACUAACUACUGCGAAAGCAUUAGCCAAGGAUGUUUUCAUUAAUCAAGAACGAAAGUUAGGGGAUCGAAGACGAUCAGAUACCGUCGUAGUCUUAACCAUAAACUAUGCCGACUAGGGAUCGGAUGAUGUUAAUUUUUUAAUGACUCAUUCGGCGCCUUACGGGAAACCAAAGUGUUUGGGUUC